UUAGUAGGCGUUGUGGGAAG
This 20-nucleotide microRNA is filed under the name Caenorhabditis remanei. RNAcentral describes it as "crm-miR-253". Its record names the gene crm-miR-253. Lineage: Eukaryota; Metazoa; Nematoda; Chromadorea; Rhabditida; Rhabditidae. The record is from miRBase by way of RNAcentral.